CAGCCGCCGCGGUAAUACGUAGGGCGCAAGCGUUAUCCGGAAUUACUGGGCGUAAAGAGCUCGUAGGCGGUUUGUCGCGUCGUCUGUGAAAUUCUGCAGCUUAACUGUAGGCGUGCAGGCGAUACGGGCAGACUUGAGUACUACAGGGGAGACUGGAAUUCCUGGUGUAGCGGUGAAAUGCUGUAAUCCUCGGGGGACUACCAGUGGCGGAGGCGCUCGGCGAUAACGGGCCUGACGGUGAGGGGCGAAAGCUGGGGGAGCGAACAGGAUUAGAUACCCCUGUAGUCCCUGUCUCUUAUAC
This 301-nucleotide ribosomal RNA is filed under the name uncultured bacterium. RNAcentral describes it as "partial 16S ribosomal RNA". It matches the Rfam family "Bacterial small subunit ribosomal RNA", at positions 509 to 807 of the family's 1533-position model. The record is from RNAcentral.